Molecule: ribosomal RNA, 135 nt
Filed under: uncultured eukaryote
Lineage: Eukaryota
Description: partial 18S ribosomal RNA
Rfam family: Eukaryotic small subunit ribosomal RNA
Source: RNAcentral
UCGUGGAUUAAUUUGUCUGGUUAAUUCCGUUAACGAACGAGACCUUAACUUGCUAAUUGGAGUAUGAUAAAUCAAUAUUAUGCUCUGUUAGAAGGACCAUGUGUUUCUAACACAAGGAAGCGUGAGGCAAUAACA